UUAAUAGAAACCAAAAAGAGGUAUUCCACUGUUAAUGGAAAAAUUGAAGCAUCUUCCUAUUAAG
RNAcentral lists this transfer RNA (64 nucleotides) under Procambarus acutus. Its description in RNAcentral is "tRNA-Asn". Lineage: Eukaryota; Metazoa; Arthropoda; Malacostraca; Decapoda; Cambaridae. The record is from RNAcentral.